This 301-nucleotide ribosomal RNA is filed under the name uncultured bacterium. RNAcentral's name for it is "partial 16S ribosomal RNA". It matches the Rfam family "Bacterial small subunit ribosomal RNA", at positions 509 to 807 of the family's 1533-position model. The record is from RNAcentral.
CAGUCGCCGCGGUAAUACGAAGGGGGCUAGCGUCGUUCGGAAUUACUGGGCGUAAAGGGCGCGUAGGCGGCCAUUCAAGUUAGAUGUGAAAGCCCUGGGCUCAACCUAGGAAUUGCAUUUGAUACUGUUUGGCUUGAGUUCGGGAGAGGUGAGUGGAAUUCCCAGUGUAGAGGUGAAAUUCGUAGAUAUUGGGAAGAACACCAGUGGCGAAGGCGGCUCACUGGACCGACACUGACGCUGAGGCGCGAAAGCGUGGGGAGCAAACAGGAUUAGAUACCCGAGUAGUCCCUGUCUCUUAUAC